UCUGACGGACACGCCGCGUGAGCGAUGAAGGCCUUCGGGUCGUAAAGCUCUGUUGUUAGGGAAGAACAAGUGCUAGUUGAAUAAGCUGGCACCUUGACGGUACCUAACCAGAAAGCCACGGCUAACUACGUGCCAGCAGCCGCGGUAAUACGUAGGUGGCAAGCGUUAUCCGGAAUUAUUGGGCGUAAAGCGCGCGCAGGUGGUUUCUUAAGUCUGAUGUGAAAGCCCACGGCUCAACCGUGGAGGGUCAUUGGAAACUGGGAGACUUGAGUGCAGAAGAGGAAAGUGGAAUUCCAUGUGUAGCGGUGAAAUGCGUAGAGAUAUGGAGGAACACCAGUGGCGAAGGCGACUUUCUGGUCUGCAACUGACACUGAGGCGCGAAAGCGUGGGGAGCAAACAGGAUUAGAUACCCUGGUAGUCCACGCCGUAAACGAUGAGUGCUAAGUGUUAGAGGGUUUCCGCCCUUUAGUGCUGAAGUUAACGCAUAACACUCCGCC
Molecule: ribosomal RNA, 497 nt
Filed under: Bacillus mycoides
Lineage: Bacteria; Bacillati; Bacillota; Bacilli; Caryophanales; Bacillaceae
Description: bacterial SSU rRNA
Rfam family: Bacterial small subunit ribosomal RNA
Source: RNAcentral